RNAcentral lists this ribosomal RNA (253 nucleotides) under uncultured bacterium. RNAcentral describes it as "partial 16S ribosomal RNA". It matches the Rfam family "Bacterial small subunit ribosomal RNA", at positions 524 to 776 of the family's 1533-position model. The record is from RNAcentral.
GACAGAGGGUGCAAACGUUGUUCGGAUUUACUGGGCGUAAAGCGCGUGUAGGCGGCUUUGCAAGUCGGAUGUGAAAUCCCACGGCUCAACCGUGGAAGUGCAUCCGAAACUGCAUCGCUGGAGUCUCGGAGAGGAAGGUGGAAUGCUUGGUGUAGAGGUGAAAUUCGUAGAUAUCAAGCAGAACGCCUGCGGCGAAGGCGGCCUUCUGGACGAUGACUGACGCUGAGACGCGAAAGCGUGGGGAGCAAACAGG